Long non-coding RNA from Bombyx mori (domestic silkworm), 2477 nucleotides. RefSeq lists it as uncharacterized. The record is from RefSeq and is a predicted model, not a curated record. The transcript is spliced from 3 exons. Lineage: Eukaryota; Metazoa; Arthropoda; Insecta; Lepidoptera; Bombycidae.
GAGUUACAAUACAAAAAUUCAAAGCGAUUCAUAUGUAAUUGUCAAUUUUCAUUUUCAAUUCUUCAAUAUUUCCGGAUAUCGAAAUCUAGAUGUUUUCAGGAAAAUUUGUGGAAAAGAGAUGUUUCCCGUGUUUUAUUGUAGACAUUCGUUAAGCAUGGUGACGUCAUCGAGUAUUAAGAGCAUCCUUUUAUUACGAGUAUAUCGUAUUCCCUACACCGACACGUUUUCUGUAAAUAAUUUCUGAAGGGAAGGGAACCUGAAUAUUAUAUUAUAUUUUGAAGGAAUUGAUGAAGGGACGUUCUUCCACCGAACGAGUGAAAUUCUUCGGUAGACCGACGGUACGAAUUUUAUAGUUCGGAACAGCGCUGACUCAGGACAAUGGCACAUUUGGAAGAAAAACAUCAGCAAAGUUAUGACAGAAAGCAACAGUAAAGAUCCUCAAUUAUCUCGCAAAAGCUUUUGGCGCUAAGCUCAGUCGGAAAAAACAUUUUCGACUAAAAGUCCUGUCUCGGAUAAAAUACGACGAUGCGGAAUGAAAAUAUCUGGGCUAGACGUAAAUGUGUAACCACGCCCCGCGUGGUGAAUUAAUCGAUUUGGUAAAGGUUCUAUGUAUAACUGAUUAAUUUAACAUUUGAAUGGUACGUAAAAAUUUUGAGCUCUUUUCACAUGAAUUAUACUUUUAAUUUUGCCUUGCAGUAAUGAACCUUCACAUUUGUCAGAGUAUUUAGUGUUUUGAUUUAAUUUUUUUCGACACUUUUCUUUAUCCCUUUCUAUUUUAGUACUUUAAAUAUUUUUAUUUAAUUAUUAAGAAAGUCAAGUUAGUAUAUUUAUUCAUCAAAACACGUCAUUUUCGUAGGUAUUUAUGGCGACACUAUGAUAUGUUCCGAAUAAACUUAUUUGCGCCUAAUCAACUUAAGAAUUGUUCUUUAACCUAUGGUUUAUAUAUAGUAUUAUCAGUAUUUGGUACUGUGCUAAAUGCAAAAUUAAUCACAUGAAUGAAUGAAAUAACAUGUGCUAAAUGACAUGAGAUCGAACAAUGUUUGUUUAAAAUUUAUUUUAUAACUAGUUGCUCUUUUUAAUACGCUUUUAUUAGCUCCAGACGUAUGUAUGUUGUAACGGAAUCUUUGAACAUGAUUUUGAAUCCCUUCAAAACGUCGGAUUAACUCGAAAUUUGGUAUACUUAUUAAGGAUCGACGACAAUCGAUUAAUAAAAAUAAAAAAUUUAAACAUUGAAAUUCAACUAAAAAAUAAAAAAUAAAUAAUAGUUUAAAUAAACUAACAAAAUACGUUUUUAUAAACUCGUUGGUAUGUGGAUUCUAUAUAUUUUCAGAAAAAAAAAACCUUUAAAUGCGCAAGAGAAAGAAAUUCAAUUCUAAAUAUAAUACUUUUCAAUUCGCCAUUUUUUUUAUUUCCAAUAUUAUUUAAGGAUAUUUUGAAAACAAUAAGCGUAUGUAUUCACAGAGCAACUAGCAGCUAUUUUUAGCAAACACAUAACAUAGAGCUAUUAGCUUAACACAUAUUUCCAUUUGUCCUGGUUCUCACCGGCUAUAUGUUGACUUUAUAAAACAACAAAGGCGAGCCAAUUAUCAUUUCUGUGAACAGCGGUUUUUGUCUUAAAUAAUAAAGUGAAUUGUUUGCUUUGAGAUCAACCUUAAAUGACAAUAAUACAGCGUUCUCACUUGUCGUUUCAGUGUUCAAAAUUGAGAAGCGCUUUUCAAUAGCGAUCUGGAAUGACUUUUGGCGUUCAUGUAGAAAAUUGCAUCUCAUGAUAAUAAUAAAAAGAACAAGUAGCACAGGGUUAUCUGGUCCCAAACUAAAAUUUCCUGUACUAUGGGAACCAGAGAUUGAUGCACAAAACAAAUUACAAUCAUUACAGUAGAAAUUGGCUAAAUCGUACAAGUAGUACCUAGAUCUAAUCUGGAUUGCAAUCUAAAUGGUAUAUGCACUCAGUAAACCAGUAUUAAUGUACAUAACUUUGCUUAUUAACAAAAUUACAAAUAAAAAUAAAAUUACGAGAUCCAGGAAAAAAAUCAAAAAAAAUGGUAUCCACAUAAGUAGACAACAAUACAACCAACACAAACAUUAUAUUGAUGAAAUUAAUUAUAUAUAAGUAGAUAUAAAAUACCCAGAGAUAGAAAAAAACACGUUUGUCUCUCGUUUGUCCGGUGCGAGAAUCAAUCCUUUUUACGACCUUUGGCCCAGUAGUUGGGGGGCUGGCUAUUAUGGUAUCUAGUCAACCAAUUCACCGAAAAUUUGGAUUGGGUGUGACUUUGACGCCGCUAUUACAUAAAAGUGUGAUUUUUGAAUUUCUGUUUAAAAGAAUAAAUUCUGUUUUUAUUAUUAUUGAUUUUAUAGCUAGAUAGCCCAUAAUAGUUUCACUCACUUAAUUAAAGAAUAUAUGUAAAGUGUAUGUGUAUUUUUAAAUAGAUAUCUUAUAUAUUUUAUAAUAGCAAAAUAAAAAAUUAUAAAAAUGUAAA